Molecule: long non-coding RNA, 584 nt
Organism: Carassius gibelio (silver crucian carp)
Lineage: Eukaryota; Metazoa; Chordata; Actinopteri; Cypriniformes; Cyprinidae
Exons: 2
Source: RefSeq, a predicted model, not a curated record
AAGGCACGUCAGUCACAUAAACAUGUGGUAAAUGAUGGAAAAACAGGACCUUGAUUAGCAAUAUCAUACUGUGACAGCUAUUGUUCAUAAUAUGAGCUGAUAUUGAGGUGUGGUGACAUAGCCGUUGCUUGGUGAAGGCUGAAAUGGACUUCUAUACUUGUCACCAAUAACUAACUAGGAGAGUGAUGGGGUGCUGCAGAUGACCUGGCCUCCACAGUCACCGGACCUGAACCCAAUCCAGAUGGUUUAGAGGUGAGCUGGACCGCAGACAGAAGGCAAAAGGGCCAACAAGUGCUAAGCAUCUCUCGGGGAACUCCUUCAAGACUGUUGGAAGACCAUUUCAGGUGACUACCUCUUGAAGCUCAUCAAGAGAAUGCCAAGAGUGUGCAAAGUAGUAAUCAAAGCAAAAGGUGGCUAAUUUGAAGAACCUACAAUAUGACAUAUUUUCAGUUGUUUCACACUUUUUUGUUAUGUAUAUCAUUCCAUAUAUAAUUCCACAUGUGUUAAUUCAUAGUUUUGAUGCCUUCAGUGUGAAUCUACAAUUUUCAUAGUCAUGGAAAUAAAGAAAACUCUUUGAAUGAGAA